This is a long non-coding RNA of Pezoporus occidentalis (night parrot), 240 nucleotides long. RefSeq lists it as uncharacterized. The transcript is spliced from 3 exons. The record is from RefSeq and is a predicted model, not a curated record. NCBI's taxonomy places the organism in Eukaryota, Metazoa, Chordata, Aves, Psittaciformes, Psittacidae.
CAGUGGAUGUUUCUAAUGUCUCUGUGGAGAACACAGACAUUAAAGGAUAAAGGGACUAUCUUGCAUGUAUUUUGUCAUAAUGCAAGUGAAUCCAUGUAGCUACAGGACAAGGACAUUGUAAGUUCAAUGCCAAAAGGCAGAAAUUGAAGCACCCAGAAAAUUUUACUGACUGAAAGAGCAUGUCUCAGAAGAUGGGCAACAGCUGAAACAGAGGGAAGGAGGAAAGUGUGGCUGAGAAUA